GACGAACGCCGGCGGCGUGCUUAACACAUGCAAGUCGAACGGAAAGGCCCUGCUUUUGUGGGGUGCUCGAGUGGCGAACGGGUGAGUAACAAGUGAGUAACCUGCCCUUGACUUUGGGAUAACUUCAGGAAACUGGGGCUAAUACCGGAUAGGAGCUCCUGCUGAAUGGUGGGGGUUGGAAAGUUUCGGCGGUUGGGGAUGGACUCGCGGCUUAUCAGCUUGUUGGUGGGGUAGUGGCUUACCAAGGCUUUGACGGGUAGACGGCCUGAGAGGGUGACCGGCCACAGUGGGACUGAGAUACGGCCCGGACUACUACGGGAGGCAGCAGUGGGGAAUAUUGCACAAUGGGCGGAAGCCUUAUGCAGCAACGCCGCGUGCGGGAUGACGGCCUUCGGGUUGUAGUCCGCUUUCGCCUGUGACGAAGCGUGAGUGACGGUAAUGGGUAAAGAAGCACCGGCUAACUACGUG
This 468-nucleotide ribosomal RNA is filed under the name uncultured bacterium. RNAcentral describes it as "partial 16S ribosomal RNA". It matches the Rfam family "Bacterial small subunit ribosomal RNA", at positions 28 to 507 of the family's 1533-position model. The record is from RNAcentral.